This 123-nucleotide ribosomal RNA is filed under the name Arabidopsis thaliana (thale cress). Lineage: Eukaryota; Viridiplantae; Streptophyta; Magnoliopsida; Brassicales; Brassicaceae. The record is from RNAcentral.
GCAUUGCAUAUACUAACGGAUGCGAUCAUACCAGCACUAAUGCACCGGAUCCCAUCAGAACUCCGCAGUCAAGCGUGCUUGGGCGAGAGUAGUACUAGGAUGGGUGACCUCCCGGGAAGUCCU